GAAAUAUUCUAUAUAUGUCUGUUAAGUCUAAAUUAUUGAUCUUAUUAUUUAGUUCUGUAGUUUCCUUAUUUAGUUUUUGUUUGGAAGAUCUGUCUAGUAGUGACAGAGGUGUGUUAAUGUCACCCAGUAUUAUUGUUUUGUGGUCUAUUUGACUCUUGAAAUUGAGAAGAGUUUGUUUGAUGUUCAUAGAUUCUCCAUUGUUUGGGGCAUAAAUAUUUAUAAUUGUCCUGCUUAUAUGUACUUCCUUUGAGAAGUAUGAAAUGUCCUUCUUUGCCUCUUCUGAUUAACUUUGGCUUGAAGCCUACUUUAUUUGAGAUGAGAAUAGAAACCCCUGCUUGUUUACACAAUCCAUAUGAGUGAUAAGAUUUUCCCAUCCUUUCACCUUCAGCCUGUGGAUGUCCUUGCCCAUGAGGUGAGUCUCUUGAAGACAGCAUAUUGUUGGGUCUUGCUUUUUAAUCCAAUCUGCCGGUCUGUGUCUCUUGAUUGACGUGUUUAGGCUGUUAACAUUCAGGGUUAUUAUUGGAGGUCUUUUCAUUCGGCAUGGCCUCGGCUACCUCUGACGCUACCUCUGUGGUCUCUGCCACUGACACACGGAGGUCUCCUGUCCAGUCAGUACCUGCCUGCAUCAGUACCGCCAUUGCUGCUGCCAUCCUGAGGUCACCUCGAGGUCUUCUUUCUGGGUGCUGCUGCCACCAAAGUCACUGCUGCCUCCAACGCAACUGAUGCCGACACCACAGCUGCCCCCAGAGAUCGCCCGGUGAUGCUGUCCCC
This 771-nucleotide long non-coding RNA is filed under the name Marmota monax (woodchuck). The record is from RNAcentral. Lineage: Eukaryota; Metazoa; Chordata; Mammalia; Rodentia; Sciuridae.